This 450-nucleotide ribosomal RNA is filed under the name uncultured bacterium. RNAcentral's name for it is "partial 16S ribosomal RNA". It matches the Rfam family "Bacterial small subunit ribosomal RNA", at positions 354 to 796 of the family's 1533-position model. The record is from RNAcentral.
GUGGGGAAUAUUGGACAAUGGGCGAAAGCCUGAUCCAGCCAUGCCGCGUGUGUGAAGAAGGUCUUCGGAUUGUAAAGCACUUUAAGUUGGGAGGAAGGGCAGUAAGUUAAUACCUUGCUGUUUUGACGUUACCGACAGAAUAAGCACCGGCUAACUUCGUGCCAGCAGCCGCGGUAAUACGAAUGGUGCAAGCGUUAAUCGGAAUUACUGGGCGUAAAGCGCGCGUAGGUGGUUUUGUAAGUUGGAGGUGAAAUCCCCGGGCUCAACCUGGGAACUGCCUCCAAAACUGCAUGACUAGAGUACGGUAGAGGGUAGUGGAAUUUCCUGUGUAGCGGUGAAAUGCGUAGAUAUAGGAAGGAACACCAGUGGCGAAGGCGACUACCUGGACUGAUACUGACACUGAGGUGCGAAAGCGUGGGGAGCAAACAGGAUUAGAAACCCUGGUAGUCC